This 162-nucleotide non-coding RNA is filed under the name bacterium. RNAcentral's name for it is "6S RNA". It matches the Rfam family "6S / SsrS RNA". From Rfam's summary of the family: E. coli 6S RNA was the first non coding RNA to be sequenced, but its function was unknown until recently. It consists of 184 nucleotides that fold into an extended hairpin structure with a large single-stranded internal bulge. The 6S RNA specifically associates with RNA polymerase holoenzyme containing the sigma70 specificity factor. RNAcentral also lists the same sequence under 1 other name. The record is from RNAcentral.
AACUGCCUGCGGUAUUCGUUUAUACUAUUUCGUUGGGCCAACAUUUAUCCCUAGGGGAAUCCUCAUGGGGUGGUGGAGUUUAUGAAGCCGCCUACGGGAUGCCCACUUGAAUAAAAGGGACUCAACUGAAAUAGAUUCCAUGAACGGUACCGCGGGUUUUUU